AAAAAGAAAAACCCUGGAUUUCCGUGUCCAACGUUUGACCGUCCGUCUUAUUUUAAAAAAUUAUAAAAAAAGACAAGUCACGUAUAAAGUAUUAAUCAUAUUUUAUCAUCUAACAACAAUGAAAAUAGUAAUUAUAAAAAAUUUUCAUAUAAGACGGACAAUCAAACGUUGGACACGAAAACCCAGAGUUUAUCUUUUU
Molecule: microRNA precursor, 199 nt
Filed under: Oryza sativa Japonica Group (Japanese rice)
Lineage: Eukaryota; Viridiplantae; Streptophyta; Magnoliopsida; Poales; Poaceae
Description: MIR812 microRNA precursor family
Rfam family: MIR812 microRNA precursor family
Source: Rfam by way of RNAcentral